This 253-nucleotide ribosomal RNA is filed under the name uncultured bacterium. RNAcentral's name for it is "partial 16S ribosomal RNA". It matches the Rfam family "Bacterial small subunit ribosomal RNA", at positions 524 to 776 of the family's 1533-position model. The record is from RNAcentral.
UACAGAGGUGGCAAGCGUUGUUCGGAAUUACUGGGCGUAAAGGGCGCGUAGGCGGCGGAGUAAGUUGGGUGUGAAAUCCCGGGGCUUAACCUCGGAAUUGCAUUCAAUACUGCUUCGCUUGAGUACUGGAGAGGAGGCUGGAAUUUACGGUGUAGCAGUGAAAUGCGUAGAUAUCGUGAGGAACACCAGAGGCGAAGGCGGUUACCUGGGAAUGUACUGACGCUGAGGAGCGAAAGUGUGGGGAGCGAACAGG